AGAGUUGUAUCCUGGCUCAGAUUGAACGCUGGCGGCAUGCCUUACACAUGCAAGUCGAACGGUAACAGGUCUUCGGAUGCUGACGAGUGGCGAACGGGUGAGUAAUACAUCGGAACGUGCCCGAUCGUGGGGGAUAACGAAGCGAAAGCUUUGCUAAUACCGCAUAAGAUCUAAGGAUGAAAGCAGGGGACCGCAAGGCCUUGCGCGAACGGAGCGGCCGAUGGCAGAUUAGGUAGUUGGUGGGAUAAAAGCUUACCAAGCCGACGAUCUGUAGCUGGUCUGAGAGGACGACCAGCCACACUGGGACUGAGACACGGCCCAGACUCCUACGGGAGGCAGCAGUGGGGAAUUUUGGACAAUGGGCGAAAGCCUGAUCCAGCCAUGCCGCGUGCAGGAUGAAGGCCUUCGGGUUGUAAACUGCUUUUGUACGGAACGAAAAGACUCUGGUUAAUACCUGGGGUCCAUGACGGUACCGUAAGAAUAAGCACCGGCUAACUACGUGCCAGCAGCCGCGGUAAUACGUAGGGUGCAAGCGUUAAUCGGAAUUACUGGGCGUAAAGCGUGCGCAGGCGGUUAUAUAAGACAGAUGUGAAAUCCCCGGGCUCAACCUGGGAACUGCAUUUGUGACUGUAUAGCUAGAGUACGGUAGAGGGGGAUGGAAUUCCGCGUGUAG
Molecule: ribosomal RNA, 673 nt
Filed under: uncultured beta proteobacterium
Lineage: Bacteria; Pseudomonadati; Pseudomonadota; Betaproteobacteria
Description: bacterial SSU rRNA
Rfam family: Bacterial small subunit ribosomal RNA
Source: RNAcentral